GCCCAUAUGGUCUAGCGGUAAGAUCCCCCGUUCGGGCUGUCAAGUCCUCCGCUUUGCGGACAAUAUUCGGGGGGGUCCUGAGUUCAAUCCUCAGUGUGGGCC
Non-coding RNA from Calocera cornea HHB12733, 102 nucleotides. The record is from the annotation of a GenBank genome assembly. NCBI's taxonomy places the organism in Eukaryota, Fungi, Basidiomycota, Dacrymycetes, Dacrymycetales, Dacrymycetaceae.